AUGUGUCUGUUCUGUGUUUGUGCCUUUCUUGGCAGGAGGAGGCGGGAUGCACCAUCCUGGGGGCACGGAUGGGAAGUUGAGGCCCUUAGCUUCAAGAUGUUCUCCCAUUCCCUGGGAUGGAGCUGGAGAGAAGGCUCUGGUCCCCACAGUGGUCAUACUCCAUGCCUGCCAUCCCUGCUGGCUCAUGAUUUGUGGGUCAGAAAUUCAGACCAGGCUCAGCUGGUGAUUCUUCUGCAUCACACCCGUCACUCCGUGUCAUUUGGUCCCACUCAGCUGGUGGAUGGACUCCUGUGGAGGGCCCACAUGGCUUUGUCACACGCUUGGUCCCUUGGCAGGGACGACUGGAAGGCUGGGCACAGCUGGAUGGUCACCCAGAGAACCUACACGCGGCCUCUCCAACAGGUGGCCUCGGGGAAGUCAGACUUCUUCCUCGGGGGCUCCGGACUCCCAGAAAGAAUGUUCCAAGAGCUGCAGAAGAAAACUGCGGGUCCUCUGGCAUUGUGCUGAAAUUCCCACAUUUCUCUGGCACAUUCUCUUGGUCAAGCAAGUCACAAAAGAAGCCUUGAUAUCAGGAGAUGGGAAUUAGGUCUCACCUCCCAACAGAAGGAGUAAAAUGAGGAGGAAAUAAUAUGUGGCCACCAUCCUCUACCUCGUCUGCUUUAUAUUCUCUUUCCUGUAUCAUGUAUUACCUAACUUACUGUAAAUUUACUGCUUAUUGUUAAUCUGUCCAUAUUUGAAUAUAAGCUACAUGAGGACAAGGAUCAGUGUCUAUAUUAUUCACUAUUGUAUCUUAAACACCCAGAAAUAGCAUCUGGCAGUGUGGCAAUUCCUUAAAGAUCUAGAAGCAGAAAUACCAUUUGACCCAGCAAUCCCAUUAUUGGGUAUAUACCCAAAGGAAUAUAAAUCAUUCUAUUAUAAAGAUGCAUGCAAGUGUAUGUUCACUGCAGCACUAUUCACAAUAGCAAAGACAUAGAGUCAACCCAAAUGCCCAUCAAUGACAGAGUGGAUAAAGAAAAUGUGGUACACAUACACCAUAGAAUACUAUGCAGCCAUAAAAAGGAAUGAG
This 1066-nucleotide long non-coding RNA is filed under the name Papio anubis (olive baboon). RNAcentral describes it as "lncRNA (ENSPANG00000041531.1)". Lineage: Eukaryota; Metazoa; Chordata; Mammalia; Primates; Cercopithecidae. The record is from RNAcentral.